This 425-nucleotide ribosomal RNA is filed under the name uncultured Emticicia sp. RNAcentral describes it as "bacterial SSU rRNA". It matches the Rfam family "Bacterial small subunit ribosomal RNA", at positions 355 to 776 of the family's 1533-position model. Lineage: Bacteria; Pseudomonadati; Bacteroidota; Cytophagia; Cytophagales; Leadbetterellaceae. The record is from RNAcentral.
UAGGGAAUAUUGGGCAAUGGGCGGAAGCCUGACCCAGCCACGCCGCGUGCAGGAAGACGGCCCUCUGGGUUGUAAACUGCUUUUAACUGGGAAGAAAAGAGGCCUUGCGAGGCAAGUUGACGGUACCAGUUGAAUAAGCCACGGCUAACUACGUGCCAGCAGCCGCGGUAAUACGUAGGUGGCGAGCGUUAUCCGGAUUUAUUGGGUUUAAAGGGAGCGUAGGCGGCUGAUUAAGUCAGCGGUGAAAGGUAGCAGCUUAACUGUUUUACAUGCCGUUGAUACUGGUUAGCUUGAGUUGACAGAAGGCAGAUAGAAUUCCUGAUGUAGCGGUGAAAUGCUUAGAUAUCAGGAGGAAUACCGAUUGCGAAGGCAGUCUGCUGCAGUCACACUGACGCUGAGGCUCGAAGGUGCGGGGAUCAAACAGG